Molecule: unclassified non-coding RNA, 240 nt
Filed under: Hevea brasiliensis (rubber tree)
Lineage: Eukaryota; Viridiplantae; Streptophyta; Magnoliopsida; Malpighiales; Euphorbiaceae
Source: RNAcentral
GGCGACGAGCGUACAGUCCUCCAUGCAAAAUAUCCAGCCAAAACUGCUGAGAAAAAAACCAAGAUAAACCUCAAAGGACACAUAUUUUUGUUGUAGAAAUCUUGGAGUUUUAUCCCACAGCAAUCAAGAAAGAGAAGAAGCAGGGUUGGUGCUGAAAACACAAAAGGCUUUCGGCUUCUUUUGUUAAAUUAAUCCUAGAUUUGGAGACAGCCAACAGAGACAGCCAAAGAAGAAUGAGAG